This 336-nucleotide long non-coding RNA is filed under the name Mytilus galloprovincialis (Mediterranean mussel). Lineage: Eukaryota; Metazoa; Mollusca; Bivalvia; Mytilida; Mytilidae. The record is from RNAcentral.
GCAAAAAAGCGAUAGUUCAUGAAUUUUUCAUCUGACACAGCGUAUUAUUCGUUCAAUACUUACCCGAUUAAUUGCAAAAUAUCUACUCAAUUUUUAUUCAUAGGUAUACAAGGAAAAUACGUAGAUUAAAUACGUUUGUUUGUGUACAGUAAAAUACAAUUUUUAACCGACAAUUAAAAAGUUGCUUUGAUGAGCGGACUUUCAGGACAUAACAAAAAUAUGUGAAAUGAAUGAACCUGCCUUUAUUUCUAAACAUACAUAAAUACUGAGCCAUGAAGUUGUAACAAAAUUAGUAUCACUGCCAAUUUGUUUAUUUGGGCUACCUACAAGAAGGGG